Chenopodium quinoa (quinoa) is the source of this 2340-nucleotide long non-coding RNA. RefSeq lists it as uncharacterized. The record is from RefSeq and is a predicted model, not a curated record. The transcript is spliced from 3 exons. NCBI's taxonomy places the organism in Eukaryota, Viridiplantae, Streptophyta, Magnoliopsida, Caryophyllales, Amaranthaceae.
CCAAAUUCCCCUUCUUCAAUUCAUUUGGUUAGGGAUUCCUCCAAUUUUGAAGUCCAUUGAAGCACGUAGUACUCUGAAUCCUUUCCUCUCUGGUCCAAUGAAGCAGUACUCUGAAUCCUUUACAUUCAAGUUGUAUUUUGAAUUCUCCAUUGAAGCCGUACAUUAAGCUCUUCUCUGAAAUGGCUUUUGGGCCUUUUGUUCUCCAUUGAAUAAGCUUCUCGGGUACUUUUUUUUUUCUUAUAAAUCAUCACCGACUAUCGAUUUUACAAUCUAGGGUUUGCCUCUUGGCUUUUGUUUUAUAUUCAUAUUUUUGAUUUUAGGUAAUUGAUUUAUAAAAAAGGAUUUGUAAUUGAUUUGUAAUCAUCAUCGACUAUCGUAUUCUAGGGUUUAUGGAGGUGAUGGUGGUGGUGACGAUGGUCGCGGUAUCCAUUACGGUGCUUCGAUUUCUAGGAUUUUGGAUUAUAGCUGAGAAGAGAUUUAAGACUACCACUCCUCUCCUCACUACCACAUGCACGGGACUGCAUUGUGGAGGUGGUUGAAACAUUAGCCACAACACAUAAUAUUCAAACUAUUGCAUAGGAUGCUGCAAUUAGGGAAGAGAUAGCCUGUGAUGAAGCUGAGCUCGGGGAAGAAGAAUUUGCUAAAAAAUGCACAACCAGCAUGAUCUACAAGCACAGGUAGAGUUUAAUUAACACUUUCAAUGGCUGUGAGUAAUUGUUGCUGAGUGUCACAUGAAAAUAGAGAUGUUAAAGUAUAUGGGUAAAUUUCACACAGAUGACUAGUCGGCUAUUCUUGAGAAGGUAUAAUUUCUCUCUUCAGCUUGGUUCUGGCUAAUCUGUUGUUUACUAUGGCUGCGAUUUUCUCUAAAAGCAUAAAUGUAAAAAGUGUCACAUGAACAAAGCUGUUACAGUUUUUUGACUCCUUGCAAGGUUGCAUGCUGAAUUUGUGUAUUGCUUAAAUGAGGUUGCAGUUCUUGACUGCUCUUACCUCUUAGUGAGUUAGUUCUGGUGUUUAAUUCUUGACUGCUCUUACCUCUUAUUCCGUCUUGGUACCUCAGUUAGUUCAGGUGGUGCCUUUAUUAUGUGUAGUGAGAUAAUUGAUGUAAAUGAAUGAAAGUAUUGUUUGCAUGCAACUUUUUCUACAUCUAUAUUGUUAUCUCCUUAUGUGUGUCCUUGUGCUGUGCUAAUGGAGAGGCACUAGACUCGUUUUCAUGGACGGUUAGCUGGGUUGUCCCUGUUACUUUUUUUGGUCAUAAUCAGGCGCAUUAAUUUAAGCAAUGUACGGGGGCAUUAAUUUUCUGCACCGUAUUGAUUUUUUUUAUUUUUUUAUUUUUAUUUUUUUUUUUUUUUUUUUAUUGAUGGGAGAAGAAUGAUAAGGAAAUUCUUGGUAUAAAUUUUGGCAUCUUUACAGACUUACAGUUUUUAGCUUCUCUUAGGUGCACACUUCUAACAAUUUUCCUACUGUGCCCCUUCCAGAAAUAAUGGUGGCAACUUAAUUAGUUCACCUACAGUGCAUGAAUCGGUGCUUUUGAUUCCAGAAUACCUUUGACUACUACUUAGUUCUAUUUCUUGUUGGUUAUUUAGCUAGUACUUUGUUAUAUUCCGGGGUGCUAUUUUGUUUUUCAGACUUGGAAUGCUUAUCUUUUGGUAAUUAAUGUGGCUACUGCCACUAUAAAUUAAUAAUAUUUUCUUUUUUGUGUAAAAAAAAAAAUUAUUUGCUGCCAUCUUUUAAACAACCAUAAUCUGAGCUAUGCUGAUUGUGGGCUUGGUCUAUUAUAAUUUAUAAUUUAGUUUAAUUAUAUUUCUUUUAUUUUUUUCAAUUUUACGUGUAGGUGCAUGGGGAGUGAAAUGGAGUGGAAGUAUAGUGACUAGCCAUCUAACAAAUGGUGCAUAUAUGUUGGCGACUCUUAUUCAAGUUCCGGCUUUGUGAAGAUUUGGAUAUUUCGGCUUAUAUAUAUGUUGACAAUUUGUACUUUGGACGAUCAAAUUAAUUAUCUAACUUUUAUUUAUUAUUAGUAGGGUAUGUCAUACCAAUAAUAGGCAAGUAAUAUUUUGUAAUGUACGUAUUUUGCAUUAUAAUUAUUAUAUAUAAAUGAUACUUUAAUUUGUUUAUGUUAGUAUAUUUAGAUUUGUACCGACUAAUUAAUAUUAUAUUACCAUUUCAUCCCAACAAAAAAAAAAAGAAAAAAAACCCAAUGAUCAAUCCGUUGCAGUAGAUACGUACUCCUAUCAUUGUAUUAAUUAGCUUCAUCCGUUGCAAUAGGUUCAAUUUCAUCAUAAUUAUUAGUCAGUACUCUAUUGCCACGGAUAAGUUAUGCCGUUGCAAUAGGUAUUGGUCUAU